This 160-nucleotide small RNA is filed under the name Streptomyces sp. RNAcentral's name for it is "c-di-AMP sequence". It matches the Rfam family "c-di-AMP riboswitch aptamer (ydaO/yuaA leader)". Rfam says of the family: This family represents a conserved RNA structure found upstream of the ydaO and yuaA genes in Bacillus subtilis and related genes in other bacteria. Lineage: Bacteria; Bacillati; Actinomycetota; Actinomycetes; Kitasatosporales; Streptomycetaceae. RNAcentral also lists the same sequence under 1 other name. The record is from RNAcentral.
CACGGCCAUCCGCCGAGUCCGGUGCCUCCGGAGCCGGGGACCCACCGAACUUGGGGUGAAUCGGCCCGACCUCCCGUCCUGGGAGCGGCCGUAGGGCAACCCUUCCGAACCACCCGCCCGAACCCGACAGCUAACUCGGUAGGCGGAGCAUGGAAGGAGU